CGAACGCUGGCGGCAGGCCUAACACAUGCAAGUCGAACGAACCUUUCGGGGUUAGUGGCGGACGGGUGAGUAACACGUGGGAACGUGCCUUUAGGUUCGGAAUAACUCAGGGAAACUUGUGCUAAUACCGAAUGUGCCCUUCGGGGGAAAGAUUAAUCGCCUUUAGAGCGGCCCGCGUCUGAUUAGCUAGUUGGUUGAGGUAAUGGCUCACCAAGGCGACGAUCAGUAGCUGGUCUGAGAGGAUGAUCAGCCACAUUGGGACUGAGACACGGCCCAAACUCCUACGGGAAGCAGCAGUGGGGAAUCUUGCGCAAUGGGCGAAAGCCUGACGCAGCCAUGCCGCGUGAAUGAUGAAGGUCUUAGGAUUGUAAAAUUCUUUCACCGGGGACGAUAAUGACGGUACCCGGAGAAGAAGCCCCGGCUAACUUCGUG
RNAcentral lists this ribosomal RNA (432 nucleotides) under uncultured bacterium. Its description in RNAcentral is "partial 16S ribosomal RNA". It matches the Rfam family "Bacterial small subunit ribosomal RNA", at positions 30 to 507 of the family's 1533-position model. The record is from RNAcentral.